Molecule: ribosomal RNA, 1536 nt
Filed under: Bacteroides ovatus
Lineage: Bacteria; Pseudomonadati; Bacteroidota; Bacteroidia; Bacteroidales; Bacteroidaceae
Description: bacterial SSU rRNA
Rfam family: Bacterial small subunit ribosomal RNA
Source: RNAcentral
CUUUUACAAUGAAGAGUUUGAUCCUGGCUCAGGAUGAACGCUAGCUACAGGCUUAACACAUGCAAGUCGAGGGGCAGCAUUUUAGUUUGCUUGCAAACUGAAGAUGGCGACCGGCGCACGGGUGAGUAACACGUAUCCAACCUGCCGAUAACUCCGGGAUAGCCUUUCGAAAGAAAGAUUAAUACCGGAUAGUAUACGAAUAUCGCAUGAUAUUUUUAUUAAAGAAUUUCGGUUAUCGAUGGGGAUGCGUUCCAUUAGUUUGUUGGCGGGGUAACGGCCCACCAAGACUACGAUGGAUAGGGGUUCUGAGAGGAAGGUCCCCCACAUUGGAACUGAGACACGGUCCAAACUCCUACGGGAGGCAGCAGUGAGGAAUAUUGGUCAAUGGGCGCGAGCCUGAACCAGCCAAGUAGCGUGAAGGAUGAAGGCUCUAUGGGUCGUAAACUUCUUUUAUAUGGGAAUAAAGUUUUCCACGUGUGGAAUUUUGUAUGUACCAUAUGAAUAAGGAUCGGCUAACUCCGUGCCAGCAGCCGCGGUAAUACGGAGGAUCCGAGCGUUAUCCGGAUUUAUUGGGUUUAAAGGGAGCGUAGGUGGAUUGUUAAGUCAGUUGUGAAAGUUUGCGGCUCAACCGUAAAAUUGCAGUUGAAACUGGCAGUCUUGAGUACAGUAGAGGUGGGCGGAAUUCGUGGUGUAGCGGUGAAAUGCUUAGAUAUCACGAAGAACUCCGAUUGCGAAGGCAGCUCACUAGACUGUCACUGACACUGAUGCUCGAAAGUGUGGGUAUCAAACAGGAUUAGAUACCCUGGUAGUCCACACAGUAAACGAUGAAUACUCGCUGUUUGCGAUAUACAGUAAGCGGCCAAGCGAAAGCAUUAAGUAUUCCACCUGGGGAGUACGCCGGCAACGGUGAAACUCAAAGGAAUUGACGGGGGCCCGCACAAGCGGAGGAACAUGUGGUUUAAUUCGAUGAUACGCGAGGAACCUUACCCGGGCUUAAAUUGCAACAGAAUAUAUUGGAAACAGUAUAGCCGUAAGGCUGUUGUGAAGGUGCUGCAUGGUUGUCGUCAGCUCGUGCCGUGAGGUGUCGGCUUAAGUGCCAUAACGAGCGCAACCCUUAUCUUUAGUUACUAACAGGUGAUGCUGAGGACUCUAGAGAGACUGCCGUCGUAAGAUGUGAGGAAGGUGGGGAUGACGUCAAAUCAGCACGGCCCUUACGUCCGGGGCUACACACGUGUUACAAUGGGGGGUACAGAAGGCGGCUACCUGGUGACAGGAUGCUAAUCCCAAAAACCUCUCUCAGUUCGGAUCGAAGUCUGCAACCCGACUUCGUGAAGCUGGAUUCGCUAGUAAUCGCGCAUCAGCCAUGGCGCGGUGAAUACGUUCCCGGGCCUUGUACACACCGCCCGUCAAGCCAUGAAAGCCGGGGGUACCUGAAGUACGUAACCGCAAGGAGCGUCCUAGGGUAAAACUGGUAAUUGGGGCUAAGUCGUAACAAGGUAGCCGUACCGGAAGGUGCGGCUGGAACACCUCCUUUCU